CUGCAGCCAAUUAAGCCAACUGUGCCCUUUCUCCAUGGGCACCCAGCUUGCCAUCACUACAAAUAGUAGCCUGCUUGCUAGUGUAUGCAGCCUGUUGAUUGUAUGGGUUGCCUAAGGGACCUUGGAGACAGUC
RNAcentral lists this small nucleolar RNA (133 nucleotides) under Canis lupus familiaris (dog). RNAcentral describes it as "Small nucleolar RNA SNORA70 (multiple genes)". It matches the Rfam family "Small nucleolar RNA SNORA70". Rfam says of the family: snoRNA U70 seems to be exclusive to mammals and is a member of the H/ACA class of snoRNA which contain H (ANANNA) and ACA box motifs. The record is from Rfam by way of RNAcentral. Lineage: Eukaryota; Metazoa; Chordata; Mammalia; Carnivora; Canidae. RNAcentral also lists the same sequence under 1 other name.